GCCCAGACUCCUACGGGAGGCAGCAGUGGGGAAUAUUGCACAAUGGGGGAAACCCUGAUGCAGCAACGCCGCGUGAAGGAAGACGGUUUUCGGAUUGUAAACUUCUGUUCUUAGUGAAGAAGAAUGACGGUAGCUAAGGAGCAAGCCACGGCUAACUCCGUGCCAGCAGCCGCGGUAAUACGGAGGAUGCGAGCGUUAUCCGGAUUUAUUGGGUUUAAAGGGUGCGUAGGCGGAAUGCCAAGUCAGCGGUAAAAUCGCGGGGCUCAACCUCGCUCCGCCGUUGAAACUGGCGUUCUUGAGUGGGCGAGAAGUAUGCGGAAUGCGUGGUGUAGCGGUGAAAUGCAUAGAUAUCACGCAGAACUCCGAUUGCGAAGGCAGCAUACCGGCGCGCAACUGACGCUCAUGCACGAAAGCGUGGGUAUCGAACAGGAUUAGAUACCCCCGUAC
This 447-nucleotide ribosomal RNA is filed under the name uncultured bacterium. RNAcentral describes it as "bacterial SSU rRNA". It matches the Rfam family "Bacterial small subunit ribosomal RNA", at positions 329 to 793 of the family's 1533-position model. The record is from RNAcentral.